This 618-nucleotide ribosomal RNA is filed under the name uncultured bacterium. Its description in RNAcentral is "bacterial SSU rRNA". It matches the Rfam family "Bacterial small subunit ribosomal RNA", at positions 73 to 686 of the family's 1533-position model. The record is from RNAcentral.
UUGGUACUAAUACUCGAAUGGUUUAGUGGCGCACGGGUGAGUAACACGUGAAUUACAUGCCCUUCAGUGGGGAAUAGCCCAGGGAAACUUGGAUUAAUACCCCAUGGUAUCGCAAGAUUAAAGGUGGCCGCAAGGCUGCCGCUGAAGGAUUGGUUCGCGCCCUAUCAUCUUGUUGGUGAGGUAACGGCUCACCAAGGCUACGACGGAUACCUGGUCUGAGAGGACGAUCAGGCACACUGGAACUGAGACACGGUCCAGACACCUACGGGUGGCAGCAGUCGAGAAUAAUUCACAAUGGGGGCAACCCUGAUGGUGCAACGCCGCGUGGAGGAUGACGGUCUUCGGAUUGUAAACUCCUGUCAUCUGGGAGAAAGACCUGGGAGUUAAUAGCUCACAGGGUUGAUAGUACCAUAAGAGGAAGGGACGGCUAACUUCGUGCCAGCAGCCGCGGUAAUACGAAGGUCCCGAGCGUUGUUCUGAAUCACUGGGCGUAAAGGGAGCGUAGGCAGCGCGCUAAGUCAGAUGUGAAAUCCCGGGGCUCAACUACGGAACUGCAUCCGAUACUGCCGUGCUUGAGCAAUGGACACGUAGCUGGAAAUUAUCGGUGUAGCAGUGAAA